RNAcentral lists this ribosomal RNA (485 nucleotides) under uncultured bacterium. RNAcentral describes it as "bacterial SSU rRNA". It matches the Rfam family "Bacterial small subunit ribosomal RNA", at positions 28 to 510 of the family's 1533-position model. The record is from RNAcentral.
GAUGAACGCUAGCGGCAGGCUUAACACAUGCAAGUCGAGGGGUAUGCCGAUUUAUCGGCAGAGACCGGCGCACGGGUGCGUAACGCGUAUGGCAAUCUACCUUUCACAGAGGGAUAGCCCAGAGAAAUUUGGAUUAAUACCUCAUAGUAUAGCAGUUUCGCAUGAAACCACUAUUAAAGUUCCAACGGUGAAAGAUGAGCAUGCGUCCCAUUAGCUAGAUGGUAAGGUAACGGCUUACCAUGGCUACGAUGGGUAGGGGUCCUGAGAGGGAGAUCCCCCACACUGGUACUGAGACACGGACCAGACUCCUACGGGAGGCAGCAGUGAGGAAUAUUGGUCAAUGGACGCAAGUCUGAACCAGCCAUGCCGCGUGCAGGAAUGACGGUCCUAUGGAUUGUAAACUGCUUUUUAUACAGGAAGAAACACUCCGACGUGUCGGAGACUUGACGGUACUGUAAGAAUAAGGAUCGGCUAACUCCGUGCCA